GAUGAAGAGCGUAGCGAAAUGCGAUACUUGGUGUGAAUUGCAGAAUCCCGUGAACCAUCGAGUCUUUGAACGCAAGUUGCGCCUCAAGCCAUUAGGUUGAGGGCACGUCUGCCUGGGCGUCACAUAUCGUUGCCUGAUGCCAGUUUCCUCGUGAUGGGUGACUGUGCAGGGCGAAUGAUGGCUUCCCGUGAGCAUUGUUGCCUCAUGGUUGGUUGAAAAUUGAGUCCUUGGUAGGGAGCGCCGUGAUAGAUGGUGGUUGAGUGACGAACGAGACCCAAUCAUGUGAGACCCCUACCGAAUUUGGCCUUCAUGACCCACAUGCGUCUUUGGAACGCUCAUGACGAGACCUCAGGUCAGGCGGGGCUACCCGCUGAGUUUAAGCAUAUCAAUAAGCGGAGGA
Molecule: unclassified non-coding RNA, 400 nt
Filed under: soil metagenome
Description: partial contains 5.8S ribosomal RNA, internal transcribed spacer 2, and large subunit ribosomal RNA
Rfam family: 5.8S ribosomal RNA (bases 1-122)
Source: RNAcentral